Molecule: long non-coding RNA, 6015 nt
Organism: Equus caballus (horse)
Lineage: Eukaryota; Metazoa; Chordata; Mammalia; Perissodactyla; Equidae
Source: Ensembl
GUAAGACAACGUCAAAGCAACAUUCAUCCUGAAAAUUUUCCCUUGUGAAUUGGAAUGAACUGUUAAUCAGCUAAAGCUUGUGGCGUUUGGAAUCCUAAAUCAGCAAUCCAGCGUCUCAACUGGAGGUGGCCCUUGACAACACUCUAAGGUCACAAUAGGAAGGAACUACAAAACCUUCAUAAUGAACCUCUGUGAGUUAGAAUGGUACAUUUUUAACUCGUUUAAUCGGGCCACACGAGUGUGGAUGCUACUUUGGGAAGGUCGUUAAGGCAACACGUCAACGAAGAAUGUUGCUUAAAGUACUGAGAAUAGCUGUCAUCACCACUGUGAGCCUCAUUCUCUAAUAUUUAUUGAACAUUUACUGUGUCUCUGGCACUGUGAAGUUCUCUAAUCAUUUCUGUUACAGCAGCCUGUGCUGCGACAGAUGAAGUGUACAAAUAGGAUGCUGAUGAAGACAUGGAAAUUACCACGAUUGCUGUGUGGGCCAAGGAAAACCAUGACUCUGCUCUAAGUCCUGUUGUCUCGUUAUCUCACACACUGGCCGAUUUCUUCUCAAAAGACUUGUGGGCAAGUAGCGGCGGUAAAGUUCAUCAUUUAUCGGCUGGCAAAUCAGCUGAGCAUGACUCGGUUAUCUGAUUCUCUAUUUCAGAGGACUUAUGGGUUAUGUUCUCAGAAGGGCAUGACAAUUCAUCAGGAAGAGGAGUGAGCGAUGGUUCCCAGAAAAUGCCUUGCUUGUCAUCUUGAGGUUUCCAUAUCAAUGGAGCCAAAUGUUAGCCCCUGCGGUCUUAAAUAGCAAGAAGGAUUGUGGCCCUUUGGGGGAAAGAAAUAGGCUCUUUGUAAUUUUUAAAGUGUGUUGAUGUGAAAUCAAAUGAUGAUAGCCCAGAUCAUUUUAACAAUUAGGUAUCUCAGUUGGGAAUGUUUGCAGCAAGUGCAGAGUCUUCGAUGUGCAUUAGCGGACAAAUGCCCAGCUUCCUUGUAAGCUGACCCCAUCAUUCCAAAUGUCUUCUCUACGUUUUGUUUAGUGGUUAGUCAUGUAAGAGCUUUUCCUGCUUCCCAAACCAGUUGGUAUAUGUGGAACAACUCUGUUGAUUAAAUAUUUUACUUAAUUUUUUUGUAGAACCACAAAAUUACUCAAGGCUUUGAAGACCUGACGAUGAGCCUACUGGCCCAGCUAAUUUGUUGAUUUGGUUGUAAAAUUAAGCUCACUAAGGAAUGAACAGAGAUAUCAUCAGACACGGAGUUCUGUCUCUUUUUUCCUCAGGAAGUCAAUCUUAGGCAAAAAUGUGAAGGAGGCAGAGUUUUCCUCUACACACGGCCACCUCCAAGCUCCCAAAAUUAUUGUUCCCUUUUCUCUCCUCCUCAUAGCUUCCUCCCUGCAAGUGCUUGCAUGCUUCCGGAUUCCUGUUAGUUAACACGAAUAAGAUAACGCUCUCUUUCGGUACAAUGUGAUACUUUAUUUUUUAAAAUUAUACUAAUGCUUAACUCAAAGCAAUAAGUAUCUAACAGCAGCAUCUCACACGUUCAUAACAAGACAGUGGUGAUAAAAUUUCUUAGUAGGACCCUCCCAAGGAUCUCUCACCUCAUACCAAUGGGCAGCCACCUCCUCACUUCCUCUCCCGACAUGCACGCAGCCAUUGGUUAUCAGUUCACUCUCCAUUACGUGAUUUGGGGGAUGCAUAAUAAGAGAGAUUAGUGCCUGCAGUAAACAAUGCUUUCUGAAAUCUUCCCCAAAAUUAACAGACAGUAGAAAUGCAACUCACCAUUCCCUGCCAGAAGAUACAGAGGGAUCUGUGAGAGAAUCUGCCCCCACCUCCACACACACAGACUUUAUGAAAGAUUAAUGGAAACAGAGAAUACUGAUGGAUAAAGGCAGCAAAUGAGCAGAAACAUCCUUGUCUUUUACUUCCUUAUCAAGAUCAGUGCCUAAACAAUGGCUAGCCCAUAGUAGUCACUCAAUCAAUAUUUGUUGAAUGACUGAAAAAUUGACUAAUUUAUCAAGUAUUUGGAAGCAGUCUGAAGACACUAUUUUUCAUUCUGGGUGCCUUGUCAGUUAAGGCCUAAAGAAAUUCUUGUUCAAAAAGUUCAAGUAUCAAGAGCUGAUAAUGAUUUCUCCCGUACAUUGCUUCAAGUGCCACAUCCAUCCUUAUUUCCCUAUCUGAAAAAAAAAAAUUUUAAGUAUAACCUUACCCAAGAGAGAUGAAAACUUAUAUCCACACAAAAGUCUGUACCCAAACGUUUAUAGUGGCUUUAUUUGUAUUCACCAAAAACAAGAAACAAUCCAAAUGUCGCUCAUAUGCAGAAGGGGUGAACUAACAGAGGUACUUUAGUACAAUGGAACACUACUCAGCCAUAAAAAGGAGCACAGUCCUAAUUCAGGCAACAACACGGAUGAACUCAAGAGCGUUAGGCUAAGUGAAAGAAAUCAGAGUUAAAAGGCUGCAUAGUAUAUGAUUCCAUUUAUAUGACAUUCCUGCCAAGACAAAAUGAUAGGGCCAGCAUUGCCUCUGGUUGUGGGUGGGAAGAAGGAUUGAUUAGAGAGUGAGAGGAAGAAUGGGUGGGUUGGUGGAUCUGUUUCAUAUCUUGAUUGUCAUGGUGGUUACUCAACUGUAUACAUUUGUGAAAGCUCAUGUAGGAGCAUGCACAAAAAAGGGUGAAUUGUAUUGUAUGUAAAUGAUACCUUCAUUUUUUAAAAAUGAAGGGAAAAGUAUAAUAAUACUCUGCAGCCCAGUAAGGUAGAUAGAUAUUUUACAGAUAUUCAGUUUUUGGUCUUGCUAAAAUGUUGCUAACAUUGUGAAGACUUCUGAAUCUCCUAAUAUUCUAAUACCAUGAUUGUACCUUUUGCCUGGCAAGAGUGUUAUAAGGAUAAAUUAGUUAAUGUAUGCAAAGACCUUUGAAGAUGAAAAGCACCAGGCGAGUUCUAGAGUGCCGAUGUUAAUGCUCAGACUGGACUGAAGGUGAAAGCAUUUUCAAAGCCAGUAGGUGGGCAGGUUUUCUAUCCCGCUGUGUUGAUUUUUCAGCUGGCUCCUACACAGCGAUUACACGGCUUUGCAUCUUUGUACUGAAGCGUGGACCACUUGACAGAAGAAAGCCACUGGGCAAAUGCUAUAAAGACAAUGGUGAGGUGGCAGCGUGGCCAAAUGGACAUUUCAAAGCCGAGAACAAAGGUCUGAACGUAAAUACCUUAGAAGUAAAUAGAGUAAAGCUUAUUACCGAUUAUGGAACAUCUCAACUUAUAGAACAGAAGUGUGCUCCAAAGUGCACUGUGUACGAAGAAUUAUUUUACUAAAUGUUUAUUUUGGAGAAAUAAUCUCUUUAUAAGUAAUCACAUCUGAAAGAAUGUGAUGGUUAAAUUCAGAAUUUUAUACAUUAAAUUUUCUUACAUAAGGUCAAGGUCUUCAUUGGUGAGGUCUGCAGCUAAAGAUGGAUGCACCCGGACUUCAGCAUUCAUCUCUCCUCCUUCAUAAUAACACAGGGAGCACAGCUAACCGCAGUCUGCAGAUCACCUAAUUAUCCCCACACCAUGCUAGUUCUCCCAAAUGGCUGCACUUAUUGUUUUGAUUUUUAUCUCUAUUUCCCCCGCCUCUUCUCUCGUUCAAGUACAAAGCAAUAGCAAAGGCCUGGCCAAAAGCCAAUUAGUCUGAGUGAGGAGGAGGAGGAAGGAGAGGUUUGGUUAAGCAUCCAGUGAGCUAACCUGGCCUUGAGUCAUUAGGAGACUUUCCACGUAAGAGCCCAACAAAUUGACCUUCAGGCAUACCUGCUUAACUGAUAAAGUAAAGUGUAGGACCAGCCCUCAUUUUUUUACCUAAAUGUUGAAUAAAAUCAUUGGAAGAAUGGGCACCUAUAUAAUUCUGAUGAGCAACAUGGUAUAGUGAAAAAUUUUAUGGGACCAAGUAUUAUGAGAUGUGAAUUCUGGUCCCAAUUCUGCCAUGAAAUCGCUGGCGGACAGUGUGCAAGUCACAUGGCCUCUCUGGACCUCAGUUUCUUCAUCUGUGAAAUUAGAGUGUUCCAUGAGAUAAUCUCUAAGAUCCCUUUCGGUUUUAAGGUCCAGAUUCUAUUGGUUCUCCUUUAAGCUAAAAUAGCUCUUUGUGAACCUGGAAAUAACUCCAAGAUUCGUUUCUCUCCUUUCCCCAAUUUUUGGAGCAAGCUAACAUGAAACAGUACCAUUAGUGAUACCGCAAUUAAUAGUUCCUCAUUCUUAUACUGAGUGGGAAUCUCACACUAUAUCCAUCAUUCAAAGACAUGUCUGGGUGCAUGUACAGAAAUAAUGGAAUGGCAAAAUGAAAGUUUAUUUGCAUGAAGUCUGAGGAGACUCUUGCUAAAAGGUUAUUCCAUGGGGCGGAAAGAAUUGUGCAAAGUUGGCCCAAUUAGAAAACCUUAGUUUUAGAGGGGCAAGAGAUUCUGACAGCGUGGUGUCUGAUACUUGACUUUGCCUACCAGCCUAGCCCCCCAAGACUCUCAGUCUACCUACAGAAUGUAACCCCUAAAGUGGAGAGCGGCAUUCUUUAGCUUUGUGUAGUUUAAGCCCCUUGAGAACACAAAUAGAUCUGCAGAGGUGGAGAAAUGUGGUAUUUCCUGGCUGAAGUGAGUGCGUGGAAGCCAUACCUAUGUAGGCAACUGUCAUGGCAGAGGCCAAUGCGGGCAUUGCUCACCCGGAGAGGCGGGGACUCCAGCAGGCAAGAUGGGGAAACAGACUAAAUCUGGAUCAAAGUUACACAUUCCCCAACUCCAAGAGAAGGCACACAGAUGGGGAUUUUUUUGUGAGUCGAUGUAACAUGUCCCUGGGAACUUCUAGCUACAAAAGUAGGGGAGAGGGGUGGGAAGUAGUUAGUCUAGAGGGCUAAAAAUGAAGUGGAAGUGUGACCCAACAAAAUUGAGCUUUAGUUGUGAUUUUUUAAUUCACAGUUUUGCCAUAAUAGUAUUAUUUUCGCAAAGAAAAUCAUAGGAAAGGAGCUAUAAUUAUUAAUCAAAUUCACAGUGUGAGUAUUAGAGGGGGAUAUCUGCAUGUAAGUAAUAACUGAAAGAAAAUCACAGAAUACCUUCUCUACUUCUCAGCUGAGACAGCAGAGAACGAUAGGGAUUCCCUGGUCUCUCCUCAGAACCAGGAGACCCUUCUCAGAUUCGCCUCUGCCUUUCUCCCCAACUCUGAAUUCCCUAAUUUUGCCUCUGUCCAUCUGUACCGAGAUGUUACAAUAUUACCUUGAAAAUGUUUUUCUCAUGUAUAUCAUGCAAAGAACCAUCUUAUUCAAUUAGGCAUUUUGGGUAUUGAGGAUUUUGGAUAAACUUAGUCCCUAACUUCAAAAAUAUUUUAAGUCAUAAUUUAUAUUUUAGGGAAACAUAUCAAGAAGAAAUGUGAUGACUGCAAGAUAUAAUUGCAGACCUACUUAUUAUAAUAAUGGAGUAAAGAUUCCUGGAAGAUCCACUGCAUGUGUUUAGAAGGAACGUUAAAUAGUGAAAUUAGGAUUAUCUUCCAUAUAGUUGAUGUUAUGAUAUAUUUUAUAGCUAUGGCGUCUCUUUCUCUCUCUUCUUCAACCUAGCCAUCCUUUUCCCAUUCCCCAUCUUUCUCUAGGAAAAUCUUUCCAUAAUAUCACCUGACAUUUUGCCGAGGCUCUAGGUCUUAUCCACACUAAAGAUGACUUCCAUAGACUUUUGAGGCGUCUAAGUGGCCCACACUACAUCCGUCAUCUUUCUAUUAAGGUCAACUGGUUGCAGGAUCCCCUGCAUCUGUGCUCAGGAGCUGGAGUAAAAGGGCAGCUCCAACGUUCCCAUUCCUGUUAAACCUUCUGUGAUCCCCCAGCCAGAGAUUACCAAUCCCUUCUCUCUUAUUCAUCCCGUUUCUAUUUUUUCAGUCAAUCUUUUUUUCAACAAUUUCUUUUUUAAGAUUGGCCCUGAGCUAACAUCUGUUGCCAAUCUUCUUUCUUUUUUUGUUCUUCUUCUCCCUGCCAAAGCCCCCCAUUACAUAGUUGUAUAUUCUAGCUGUAGGUUGUUUUAGUUGAGCCAUGUGAGACGCUGCCUCAG